AUGGAUGCCCAGAACAAGGAGGUCGCCGCCCUGGUGGAGAAGAUCACCGGGCUCCACGCCGCCAUCGCCAAGCUGCCGUCGCUCAGCCCAUCCCCGGCCAUCGACGCGCUCUUCACCGAGCUGGUCACCGCGUGCGCCCCCCCGAGCCCCGUGGAUGUGACCAAGCUGGGCCCGGAGGCGCAGGAGAUGCGGGAGGGCCUCAUCCGCCUCUGCUCCGAGGCCGAGGGGAAGCUGGAGGCGCACUACUCCGACAUGCUCGCCGCCUUCGACAACCCGCUCGACCACCUCGGCGUCUUCCCCUACUACAGCAACUACGUCAACCUCAGCAAGCUCCGACGCGCCGGCAAGCUGUUUCGCGUGGACACGGACGUGGGCGCCCGCAUGUCGUUCCACACGGCCGAGGUGCUGGCCGUGUGCCACCCCGACGAUGACGUGGUGAACUCCGUCAUCAUCGCACAUAAGUCCAAGGACGUGGUGGGAAACUCCUCGCCCUCUGCACGCCCCGUCUUCCUCAACCGCUACAGGCGGCGGCGACCCAUCCUUUGCCCCCUACCUCCGCCAGCGAGAUCGCUGGUCCCUGCCUCCUCCGUCCGCCGUUACGGCGGCGGCAGGGGGUGGGGACCCCAGCGCUUCGCCAUUGGUGAGUAG
Molecule: ribosomal RNA, 648 nt
Filed under: Triticum aestivum (bread wheat)
Lineage: Eukaryota; Viridiplantae; Streptophyta; Magnoliopsida; Poales; Poaceae
Description: partial small subunit ribosomal RNA
Source: RNAcentral